GGCUGGUCUAAUGAUGGUGGGUUAUCAGAACUUAUUAACAUCAGUGCCACUAAAGUUGGUAUUCAACCCCCCACUGCUAAAUUUGACUGGCUUUUA
Molecule: Y RNA, 96 nt
Filed under: Prolemur simus (greater bamboo lemur)
Lineage: Eukaryota; Metazoa; Chordata; Mammalia; Primates; Lemuridae
Description: Y RNA (ENSPSMG00000007190.1)
Rfam family: Y RNA
About the family: Y RNAs are components of the Ro ribonucleoprotein particle (Ro RNP), in association with Ro60 and La proteins.
Source: Rfam by way of RNAcentral